This is a long non-coding RNA of Passer domesticus (house sparrow), 1094 nucleotides long. RefSeq lists it as uncharacterized. NCBI's taxonomy places the organism in Eukaryota, Metazoa, Chordata, Aves, Passeriformes, Passeridae. The record is from RefSeq and is a predicted model, not a curated record. The transcript is spliced from 6 exons.
CACAGCUUUUUUUAUUAAGCAAAGCUGUUAACCCUGCAGCCUGACAGAAAGCAGAUCACGAGGAGGAGAAGGUGUGUCAGCUGAGUGCUUCAGGCUUCUGAAGGCACUGACCAGGGCCUGAACUUUGCUGCUCCCCAGCUCUUACAGAGACGUGGCAGUGUUUGCUGUGGGUACCAGGCCUGAAAUAUCAGCAGUGAUAUUGUGUGAGGAAAGGAAUAUGUUCAAAACCUUGACUCGUCAUUCAUCAGUGGAGCUGACAUCAACAGAAACUUUUCAAUAUAUAUCAAAUGAUAGUGGAGACAGAAGCAAGGAAUAUAAACUGCUCAACAUCAUUAUCUUCCUACUGAAUCUAGCAGCUUUGCAAACAAACACUCACCCAAAACGGAAUCUGGCUGAUCAGAGCUCUUAACUGGAAAGGGAUGAGAUGGAGGUUAAUGCAGAAGAGAAUAGACCUAGAGUAUGACAAAAUAUUAGCAAGUUUCUUCUAAACUGCAGUGCAGAGUUUGCAAAACUUGACUGACAGCUCAGUGUGAUGAAUGGGAGCAAUUCCCUUACAUUUACUUCUGAAGAAAAGGAUCUGGAAACCAGUGGCUUCCAGUGGCUGGGCUGAAUUUUUGCUCCAGACUGAAAUGAGAGGAGCAAUGUCCAUUAUUGCAGCAGCCAGAAAACAAUUAUACAGUCAAAAAGUGAGAAGAUGCUGGUCUCACUAUCUUGGCAUUGAGGAUGGUUAUUUAAUAAAUGCAAUCGCUACCUUUUACUUCAGAACACAUUUUCAAACAGAGAGAAGAGCUUGCAUUCCCAGCUGGAAGGACUCCAGGUAGGGCAGUGUUGCUGCCAGCAUGGACAGUAAUCCCAUUGUAAGGCUCCCCAUUGCACCCCUGUGCACCUAUCCACGAAUAGUGAGGACCCAGAUCUUCAACUCCUGUGGCUUUGGCAAACAAGGAUGCCACAGCAGACCACACACUUAAAAAGAUUACCUGUAUGCAUUAACAUGAAAAAAAAUUAUUAAGUUUUUAAUUUAAAAUAUCAAUGUAUGGGGAAAAUUAUUUUAAACCUCAAAUAUAUUCACACAAUAAAGGCAAUGCUGAUGUUUA